UACGGAGGGUGCAAGCAUUGAUCGGAAUUACUGGGCGUAAAGGGCGCGUAGGCGGCCAGAAAAGUCAGAUGUGAAAUUCCGGGGCUCAACCCCGGAGCUGCAUUUGAAACUUUCCGGCUAGAGGAUGGUAAGGGAAAACGGAAUUCCACGUGUAGCGGUGAAAUGCGUAGAUAUGUGGAAGAACACCGGUGGUGAAGACGGUUUUCUGUGCCAAACCAGACGCUGAGGCGCGAAAGCUAGGGGAGCAAACAGG
This 253-nucleotide ribosomal RNA is filed under the name uncultured Simkania sp. RNAcentral describes it as "partial 16S ribosomal RNA". It matches the Rfam family "Bacterial small subunit ribosomal RNA", at positions 524 to 776 of the family's 1533-position model. The record is from RNAcentral. Lineage: Bacteria; Pseudomonadati; Chlamydiota; Chlamydiia; Parachlamydiales; Simkaniaceae.